RNAcentral lists this ribosomal RNA (253 nucleotides) under uncultured bacterium. RNAcentral describes it as "partial 16S ribosomal RNA". It matches the Rfam family "Bacterial small subunit ribosomal RNA", at positions 524 to 776 of the family's 1533-position model. The record is from RNAcentral.
UACGAAGGGGGCUAGCGUUGCUCGGAAUCACUGGGCGUAAAGGGCGCGUAGGCGGCCAUUCAAGUCGGGGGUGAAAGCCUGUGGCUCAACCACAGAAUUGCCUUCGAUACUGUUUGGCUUGAGUUUGGUAGAGGUUGGUGGAACUGCGAGUGUAGAGGUGAAAUUCGUAGAUAUUCGCAAGAACACCAGUGGCGAAGGCGGCUCACUGGCCCGAUACUGACGCUGAGGCACGAAAGCGUGGGGAGCAAACAGG